This is a long non-coding RNA of Triticum aestivum (bread wheat), 1272 nucleotides long. RefSeq lists it as uncharacterized. The record is from RefSeq and is a predicted model, not a curated record. The transcript has 8 exons. Lineage: Eukaryota; Viridiplantae; Streptophyta; Magnoliopsida; Poales; Poaceae.
AUCCCCACGUCUCGUGUUGCCCUCUCUCCUCCCCAUUGCUCUUGUUUUCCCCCUGAUUUCUCUUUUCUAUUUUCCCCUUUGUGGUUUGACUAGGCGGUUUAUAGGGUCAUCCAAUUUUUAUUUGCAGGUGCUAAUCUUGCUGCAAGUUGUUGGCUGGGUCUCUUUCUCCCUAGGGAAGGCAUAGUAGACCUCGGGUAAAUCAAGGAUCUCGCGGUGGCUAUAGCGAUGCCCCUAUCAUCUCAUCCCUCUUUCUAUGUGCUUCUCUCCAUGGACAGCAUCGCCAUGGCCAGAUCGAUGGUUAAAGCCGUAGCAUUUUCCCUUGAUUAAGUUCAGAAGAUGGCGCUCGUUGCCAGCGGGAUCUCGAGGAACAUGUGACCUCCAUGGUGUUCACUGCCAGACGGUUUGGCAAGGAGGGGUAGCUUAUGCGGCGAUCUUUCUUGGGGAACCCUGGGCAACCGUCAUUCAGGUCUCCUACUAAAGCUCCUCCUCGCCACACGCCAUGUCUUCCACCCUGACAUAUUUCUUGCUCUUCUGGGCUUGUGGAAGUGGCCACUUAUGGAGGUUGAUUGAUUUGGUUGGUUCGAUAGGAUCCCAACCUGAGGAGAAUAAUGGUUUGGAGAUGGCUAGCGGUCUGUGGGGCAUCGACCAGACUGGCAGCGACCCCGAUGGAGGGGAAGGGCUCGACAGGCGCUUCCAGGCAGGAGAGGCUUGGGGGCCUCGUGGAUUGGGGAGAUGGCGGCCACCCGGGUUUCUUCGAUCGAUCUGCGAUCUGGACAGGGCCACGGCAACGCGAGCGUGGGGCGUAGGCGAGCGACCCUCUGCAGCCACGCGUUGACAGUUACCUGUCGAGACUAUAAGAAGAAUUUUGAGGAAGAAUUUGAUCAAGAAGACCAAGAUGGUUUGCUUUGGAGAGGAAUUAGAUGAGGCCCAUGAGUCCUAAAGAUAAUACAAUCAAUCCAACUGUUAACUUUGGUGUGCUUUUUGGACGGACUAAUAUGAAGACGCUGGCUAGCUCGCAUUGCCAUCAUAUAGUCUAGAAGCAAGGGCAAGGAUUAUAGGGAAAAUAAAGUUGAUAGGUGUAAUCAACAAUUUUCAGAAAACAAAAUCAAAUGCAGACUUGAGUAUUACUUGAGGGCGCACUGGAAAGGCUUCCAGAGCUAGGAGAAGAAACGGUUGAAGAAGAUAUGGUCUUGGGUGUUUCACAGGCAUCAGGUGUAAGAGUGCACGAAUGACAGUUUGCCCUUUGAAACGACGUACGCCGUACAGAAGCUU